GAUGAACGCUGGCGGCGUGCUUAACACAUGCAAGUCGAACGAUGAAGCCCAGCUUGCUGGGUGGAUUAGUGGCGAACGGGUGAGUAACACGUGAGUAACCUGCCCUUAACUCUGGGAUAAGCCUGGGAAACUGGGUCUAAUACCGGAUAGGAGCGUCCACCGCAUGGUGGGUGUUGGAAAGAUUUAUCGGUUUUGGAUGGACUCGCGGCCUAUCAGCUUGUUGGUGAGGUAAUGGCUCACCAAGGCGACGACGGGUAGCCGGCCUGAGAGGGUGACCGGCCGCACUGGGACUGCGACACGGCCCAGACUCCUACGGGAGGCAGCAGUGGGGAAUAUUGCACAAUGGGCGCAAGCCUGAUGCAGCGACGCCGCGUGAGGGAUGACGGCCUUCGGGUUGUAAACCUCUUUCAGUAGGGAAGAAGCGAAAGUGACGGUACCUGCAGAAGAAGCACCGGCUAACUACGUG
RNAcentral lists this ribosomal RNA (466 nucleotides) under uncultured bacterium. Its description in RNAcentral is "partial 16S ribosomal RNA". It matches the Rfam family "Bacterial small subunit ribosomal RNA", at positions 28 to 507 of the family's 1533-position model. The record is from RNAcentral.